UCUCAAAUCAGGUAGGACUACCCGCUGAACUUAAGCAUAUCAAUAAGCGGAGGAAAAGAAACUAACAAGGAUUCCCCUAGUAACUGCGAGUGAAGCGGGAAGAGCUCAAAUUUAAAAUCUGGCGUGCCUCCGGUCGUCCGAGUGUAGU
RNAcentral lists this ribosomal RNA (148 nucleotides) under uncultured fungus. RNAcentral's name for it is "partial large subunit ribosomal RNA". It matches the Rfam family "Eukaryotic large subunit ribosomal RNA", at positions 1 to 149 of the family's 3401-position model. The record is from RNAcentral. Lineage: Eukaryota; Fungi.